UACAGAGGUCCCAAGCGUUGUUCGGAUUCACUGGGCGUAAAGGGUGCGUAGGUGGUUGUGCAAGUCUGAUGUGAAAUCUCCGGGCUUAACCCGGAAAUGGCAUUGGAAACUGCAUAGCUAGAGGGUUGGAGGGGGGGACUGGAAUACUUGGUGUAGCAGUGAAAUCGUAGAUAUCAAGUGGAACACCAGUGGCGAAGGCGAGUCCCUGGACAACACCUGACACUGAGGCACGAAAGCUAGGGGGAGCAAACA
This 252-nucleotide ribosomal RNA is filed under the name uncultured bacterium. Its description in RNAcentral is "partial 16S ribosomal RNA". It matches the Rfam family "Bacterial small subunit ribosomal RNA", at positions 524 to 774 of the family's 1533-position model. The record is from RNAcentral.